Molecule: transfer RNA, 76 nt
Filed under: Actinobacteria bacterium RBG_16_64_13
Lineage: Bacteria; Bacillati; Actinomycetota
Description: tRNA-His
Rfam family: tRNA
About the family: Transfer RNA (tRNA) molecules are approximately 80 nucleotides in length. Their secondary structure includes four short double-helical elements and three loops (D, anti-codon, and T loops). Further hydrogen bonds mediate the characteristic L-shaped molecular structure. tRNAs have two regions of fundamental functional importance: the anti-codon, which is responsible for specific mRNA codon recognition, and the 3' end, to which the tRNAs corresponding amino acid is attached (by aminoacyl-tRNA synthetases). tRNAs cope with the degeneracy of the genetic code in two manners: having more than one tRNA (with a specific anti-codon) for a particular amino acid; and 'wobble' base-pairing, i.e. permitting non-standard base-pairing at the 3rd anti-codon position.
Source: RNAcentral
GUGAACGUAGCUCAGGUGGUAGAGCACUGGGUUGUGGCCCCAGCGGUCGCGGGUUCAAGUCCCGUCGUUCACCCCU